UGGGGUAUGGGGUAUGGCAGCCCGACUGGUUCUGGUCCAGUUAGUCUAGGUUCGAGUCCUAGUACCCCAG
This 70-nucleotide transfer RNA is filed under the name Nocardioidaceae bacterium. It matches the Rfam family "tRNA". From Rfam's summary of the family: Transfer RNA (tRNA) molecules are approximately 80 nucleotides in length. Their secondary structure includes four short double-helical elements and three loops (D, anti-codon, and T loops). The record is from Rfam by way of RNAcentral. Lineage: Bacteria; Bacillati; Actinomycetota; Actinomycetes; Propionibacteriales; Nocardioidaceae.